This is a long non-coding RNA of Anguilla anguilla (European eel), 1051 nucleotides long. RefSeq lists it as uncharacterized. The record is from RefSeq and is a predicted model, not a curated record. Lineage: Eukaryota; Metazoa; Chordata; Actinopteri; Anguilliformes; Anguillidae. The transcript has 4 exons.
GUGAUUUGCGCGAGUCACACCUGCGAUUUGAGUCACACCUGUUACGGCUUAAUUACUCGCGCAUGCGCGGUGGAUUUACCACGCACAGCAGGAGUUCCAGAUGACUGGAGGAUGUCUGCUGAUGUGAUCUCCUAAAAGGAAGGAUGUUUGUUCCAAUCCCACGAUGACUCACUGCUUUCUUUCUGCCAUUUGACCUCUGACACUCUCACCCUGACCUCCGACCUCCAGAGGAACCAUUGUGUGUGAGAGGAAGAUGGACGCCUCCUCAGCCUCAGAGAGAGCCCCACGCUACAGCGGCAGGUGUGCAGGCAGCUGUCUGCUGGAGUCUCCCUGCAUGGGGAAGUGGAAGGGACAGAGACGAGCCUGAACCUGCAGAAGCUGUACAGAACGUUCACAGCCGUGUGCUUUUAAAUAAACAGCAGUUUAAUGAGAACGCAAAGCUGUUACAUCUACAGCAGAAUUAGGUUUAAAAAUGGAAAGAUUCAGCUCCGACUCCUUGUGGCAUACUGAAGAUAACUUCGGAUCAUCCCAGUAAACCUCACAGAUGAAUAUUGUGGCACACAGAAUCUCCUUUGCAUUGCUGCAUCACUUAAAGUAUAUAUUAGUACUGGGACAAAGCACAAAGCAGUCAGAAGUAAAUUCACUGCAUCCAUCAACCAAAUUCUCGGGUAAAAUAGCUGCUGUUGUGGAUACCGGUGCAGGCUGGUGCAUAAUGGAUUUUUUCUUAAGGUGGUCGGACUUCUUAAGGUAGACUUUCUAUGUUAAAUGCAACUGCCAGAGGGUGACUGCUAAAGCUGAGCUAUGUAGUUCUGUGCAGGUUACAGGAGAUAAAGAGCAGGUAGGGAUCUUUACUGAGCAGGUUCAUUACAGAGAAGGCUGAGAUCUUUGCAUAGCAGGUUCUUUAUUGAGCUGUUGGAUCUUUACAGAACUCCUCUGUCUCUGGGUGUCAGAGCUCUGAGAGGAAUGUGCCGUUGUUCCGGAAGGUUCUACCAGACCUGAAAUGAGCCAUUGGGUCUGGUACAGACCAGCAUGCUUUUGUCAUGUCCAUACA